GGCAAGUCGAGCGGAUGACGGGAGCUUGCUCCUUGAUUCAGCGGCGGACGGGUGAGUAAUGCCUAGGAAUCUGCCUGGUAGUGGGGGACAACGUUUCGAAAGGAACGCUAAUACCGCAUACGUCCUACGGGAGAAAGCAGGGGACCUUCGGGCCUUGCGCUAUCAGAUGAGCCUAGGUCGGAUUAGCUAGUUGGUGGGGUAAUGGCUCACCAAGGCGACGAUCCGUAACUGGUCUGAGAGGAUGAUCAGUCACACUGGAACUGAGACACGGUCCAGACUCCUACGGGAGGCAGCAGUGGGGAAUAUUGGACAAUGGGCGAAAGCCUGAUCCAGCCAUGCCGCGUGUGUGAAGAAGGUCUUCGGAUUGUAAAGCACUUUAAGUUGGGAGGAAGGGCAGUAAGUUAAUACCUUGCUGUUUUGACGUUACCGACAGAAUAAGCACCGGCUAACUCUGUGCCAGCAGCCGCGGUAAUACAGAGGGUGCAAGCGUUAAUCGGAAUUACUGGGCGUAAAGCGCGCGUAGGUGGUUUGUUAAGUUGGAUGUGAAAGCCCCGGGCUCAACCUGGGAACUGCCUCCAAAACUGGCAAGCUAGAGCACGGUAGAGGGUGUUGGAACUUCCUGUGUA
RNAcentral lists this ribosomal RNA (626 nucleotides) under Pseudomonas monteilii. RNAcentral's name for it is "bacterial SSU rRNA". It matches the Rfam family "Bacterial small subunit ribosomal RNA", at positions 56 to 677 of the family's 1533-position model. The record is from RNAcentral. Lineage: Bacteria; Pseudomonadati; Pseudomonadota; Gammaproteobacteria; Pseudomonadales; Pseudomonadaceae.